This 66-nucleotide transfer RNA is filed under the name Mycobacterium minnesotense. RNAcentral describes it as "Mycolicibacter minnesotensis tRNA-Ser". It matches the Rfam family "tRNA". Rfam says of the family: Transfer RNA (tRNA) molecules are approximately 80 nucleotides in length. Their secondary structure includes four short double-helical elements and three loops (D, anti-codon, and T loops). The record is from RNAcentral. Lineage: Bacteria; Bacillati; Actinomycetota; Actinomycetes; Mycobacteriales; Mycobacteriaceae.
CAGGUCAGUGGCUAUCUCGUCCGCCUGAAAAGCGGAAGGUUGCCGGUUCGAUCCCGGCCCUGGCCA